UGAAAAAGUUCUAUUUAAGUGUUGAUUUGAUUGAACAGGGUUUGCAGUAAUCAGGCCUGGUUGUGUCUAGUCCAGCUGAACUCUGUUAAAAGCUGUAUUUUUUUUUAUCUUAGAUUUUGUUUUAAUUUCUGAAAUCAUUUCGUAUGAGAUAUGCACAAAACAGCACUCUACAGUACAUCACUAUAUUGGUCAAAGUGUGCCAUUCCCUAGAAUCCCUUACCCAGUGUGAUUAUGUAUGUUACAGGAAAAAAAAAGUUUUUCAAAACCCUAGUUGACAUCUGACGACUUUUCCCAGACUAACAAACACAGACACGCACAUGUACAGGUCAAGUUUCCCAGGUUAGCUGGAUGAGUCUGCUGAAUAAAGAAAUUCAAAAGUGCACUGACGUUUUUAACCGACUUCUGAAGAAUAGACCACACCAAAUACUCGUUAAUCACAAUAUGCCACGGAGCCAGCGUUCAAUCACAUUUUGACAUGUUUUUCAAAUGCCAAGCACAAGGGCAAAGACGACGCUUUACUUCUGCUUCCUUCAAAGCAUCUCGCCAG
Molecule: long non-coding RNA, 547 nt
Organism: Ictalurus punctatus (channel catfish)
Lineage: Eukaryota; Metazoa; Chordata; Actinopteri; Siluriformes; Ictaluridae
Source: Ensembl